This 72-nucleotide transfer RNA is filed under the name Thraustochytrium aureum. Its description in RNAcentral is "tRNA-Val". It matches the Rfam family "tRNA". From Rfam's summary of the family: Transfer RNA (tRNA) molecules are approximately 80 nucleotides in length. Their secondary structure includes four short double-helical elements and three loops (D, anti-codon, and T loops). Lineage: Eukaryota; Bigyra; Thraustochytrida; Thraustochytriidae. The record is from RNAcentral.
GGGUGGUUAGCUCAAUGGUAGAGCGUUCCUUUUACACAGGAAAGGUUAGCGGUUCAAACCCGUUACUGCCUA